AACGAACGCUGGCGGCAGGCCUAACACAUGCAAGUCGAACGCUCCGCAAGGAGAGUGGCAGACGGGUGAGUAACACGUUGGAAUCUUCCUAUCGGUACGGAAUAGCUCAGGGAAACUUGAGGUAAUACCGCAUACGCUCUUCGGGGGAAAGAUUUAUCGCCGAUAGAUGAGCCCGCGGCUGGUUAGCUAGUUGGUGAGGUAAUGGCUCACCAAGGCGACGAUCAGUAGCUGGCCUGAGAGGAUGACCAGCCACACUGGGACUGAGACACGGCCCAGACUCCUACGGGAGGCAGCAGUGGGGAAUAUUGGACAAUGGGCGCAAGCCUGAUCCAGCCAUGCCGCGUGAGUGACGAAGGUCUUCGGAUUGUAAAGCUCUUUUACCAGGGACGAUAAUGACGGUACCUGGAGAAUAAGCCCCGGCUAACUUCGUGCCAGCCGCCGCCGUAA
Molecule: ribosomal RNA, 447 nt
Filed under: uncultured bacterium
Lineage: Bacteria
Description: partial 16S ribosomal RNA
Rfam family: Bacterial small subunit ribosomal RNA
Source: RNAcentral